AGGAGAGUAAUUUUUUCGGAGUUAACAUUAUUUUCAUCAAAAAGAGUCAAAUUUAUACAUUAGAGAGUGAAAUCAUUUCAGUUGGUCAAUAGAAUCGGAGUAAAAAAAUAGAGGAAAUUAUAUCGGAGUAAAACAAGACCACGCCCACUGAAGUUCCUUAAGUUUCGUUUCUUCCGCCAUCUUGUCAUCCCGCAGUGGAAACGGAGGCGAAGGUUAGCUAUGUGCCAGGAGCAUUAUUACAAUGCAGAAGAUGGAAGUGGGUAUUUGGCUUGGAGACUGAAGUUUGUACAGAGGGAAGCUUCUAAUGGACAAAAAAAUGUCCCCAGACUGUCACAAACCCAAACAGGGGGACCAACAACUGAUAAGAGAGACUGUUUGAGAGAAGAAGACUAUCUUCUGACAGAUCGCUUGUCUCUUCAUCAGCUGUGUGCUUCAUCAGU
Molecule: long non-coding RNA, 440 nt
Organism: Poeciliopsis prolifica (blackstripe livebearer)
Lineage: Eukaryota; Metazoa; Chordata; Actinopteri; Cyprinodontiformes; Poeciliidae
Exons: 3
Source: RefSeq, a predicted model, not a curated record